AUAGGAGUCAAAAAUAUAUGGAAAAUUGAGAGAAAUAUAAGAGGAGAAUGAGGAAGACUUGAGAGGUUUGUGGCACCAAAAUCCAUGGAGGAGAGUCCUUUAACAAGAGAUCAAAAGUUGAUAUCUUGUAGAGAAGAAAGGUAAGAGAAAAGAUUAUCUUCUAUUAUUGGUUUUCUUUCUUAUUUUUUUUCUCUUUGUUUUUAUGUUUUUAUGUGAGAAAAAUAUGAGAG
Molecule: long non-coding RNA, 230 nt
Filed under: Elaeis guineensis (African oil palm)
Lineage: Eukaryota; Viridiplantae; Streptophyta; Magnoliopsida; Arecales; Arecaceae
Description: long non-coding RNA (EGUI_LNC079953)
Source: RNAcentral